This 253-nucleotide unclassified non-coding RNA is filed under the name uncultured Sphingomonadaceae bacterium. RNAcentral describes it as "contains 16S-23S intergenic spacer region". It matches the Rfam family "Bacterial small subunit ribosomal RNA", at positions 524 to 776 of the family's 1533-position model. The record is from RNAcentral. Lineage: Bacteria; Pseudomonadati; Pseudomonadota; Alphaproteobacteria; Sphingomonadales; Sphingomonadaceae.
UACGAAGGGGGCUAGCGUUGUUCGGAAAUACUGGGCGUAAAGCGAACGUAGGCGGCUACGUAAGUCAGGGUUGAAAUCCCGGGGCUCAACCCCGGAACUGCCUUUGAAACUGCAUGGCUAGAAUCCUGGAGAGGCGAGUGGAAUUCCGAGUGUAGAGGUGAAAUUCGUAGAUAUUCGGAAGAACACCAGUGGCAAAGGCGACGCGCUGGACAGGUAUUGACGCUGAGGUUCGAAAGCGUGGGGAGCAAACAGG